RNAcentral lists this ribosomal RNA (467 nucleotides) under uncultured bacterium. RNAcentral describes it as "partial 16S ribosomal RNA". It matches the Rfam family "Bacterial small subunit ribosomal RNA", at positions 28 to 507 of the family's 1533-position model. The record is from RNAcentral.
GACGAACGCUGGCGGCGUGCUUAACACAUGCAAGUCGAACGGAAAGGCCUCUUUCGGGGGGUACUCGAGUGGCGAACGGGUGAGUAACACGUGAGUAACCUGCCCUUGACUUUGGGAUAACUUCAGGAAACUGGGGCUAAUACCGGAUAGGAGCUCCUGCUGCAUGGUGAGGGUUGGAAAGUUUCGGCGGUUGGGGAUGGACUCGCGGCUUAUCAGCUUGUUGGUGGGGUAGUGGCUUACCAAGGCUUUGACGGGUAGCCGGCCUGAGAGGGUGACCGGCCACAUUGGGACUGAGAUACGGCCCAGACUCCUACGGGAGGCAGCAGUGGGGAAUAUUGCACAAUGGGUGGAAGCCUGAUGCAGCAACGCCGUGUGCGGGAUGACGGCCUUCGGGUUGUAAACCGCUUUCGCUCAUGACGAAGCUUUGUGUGACGGUAGUGGGUAAAGAAGCACCGGCUAACUACGUG